RNAcentral lists this ribosomal RNA (383 nucleotides) under Phlogistus sp. 3 NLG-2013. RNAcentral's name for it is "partial 12S ribosomal RNA". Lineage: Eukaryota; Metazoa; Arthropoda; Insecta; Coleoptera; Cleridae. The record is from RNAcentral.
UAAAAUUAAAAAAUUUGGCGGUAUUUUAGUCUUUUCAGAGGAACCUGUUCUAUAAUUGAUAAUCCACGAUUAAUUGUACUUACUUUAAAAAUUUAUAUAUCGUCGUAGUUUGAAUGUUUUAUAAGAAUAAUAAAUGUUCAUGAUUUAAAAUUUUAAAAAAAAUCAGAUCAAGGUGUAGUUUAUAAGUGAGAAGAAAUGGGUUACAUUUAAUUUAUUAAUGGAAAAUUUUAUGAAAAUGAAAUUUGAAAUUGGAUUUGAAAGUAAAUUUAAAAAUUUUUUUAAGUUGAUUUAAGCUCUAAAAUAUGUACAUAUUGCCCGUCACUUUCGUUUUAAAAUGAGAUAAGUCGUAACAAAGUAGAUUUACUGGAAAGUGAAUCUAGAAG